Molecule: transfer RNA, 71 nt
Filed under: Cyllometra manca
Lineage: Eukaryota; Metazoa; Echinodermata; Crinoidea; Comatulida; Colobometridae
Also listed under: 2 other names
Description: tRNA-Ser
Rfam family: tRNA
About the family: Transfer RNA (tRNA) molecules are approximately 80 nucleotides in length. Their secondary structure includes four short double-helical elements and three loops (D, anti-codon, and T loops).
Source: RNAcentral
AAAGAGAUGGCAGAAAAUAAUGCAUCUGGCUUGAAACCAGAAAGAUGGAAGUUUAAAUCUUCCUCUCUUUU